Molecule: microRNA, 23 nt
Filed under: Pristionchus pacificus
Lineage: Eukaryota; Metazoa; Nematoda; Chromadorea; Rhabditida; Neodiplogasteridae
Description: ppc-miR-8242-3p
Source: miRBase by way of RNAcentral
UGAUAUUUAGUGGCACGGAGUGA